Long non-coding RNA from Solea solea (common sole), 3155 nucleotides. RefSeq lists it as uncharacterized. The record is from RefSeq and is a predicted model, not a curated record. The transcript is spliced from 3 exons. NCBI's taxonomy places the organism in Eukaryota, Metazoa, Chordata, Actinopteri, Pleuronectiformes, Soleidae.
CCGGCGGAAUCGGACGUCCACUGUCCCCGGCGCAAUUAAGCAGUGGUUCUCUCACGCAAACUUCGUCUUCGGCGGAUGAAGGUGUCCAUCCUGUGACUGAGAAUGAAGCAAUUUCGGCGGAGGAGCAGACUUUCUUUUCCGUCUCCAAACGAGCGAAGAGGCGCAGGGGCGAGACAAUAACGCCCAGAAGUUAUUGAAAUGAAACGCCAUUAAAUGAGCUGACACAAGAAGAGGAAGAACCAGCAGUGCUAGCCUUCACCACGGAGGGAAGGAAGGGAAGCAGAAAAACCCCCACAGCAAAACACAAUGAGGACUAGACAAGCGUAAUGAAAAAUAGGUCCAGACACGAAGACGGCAUCAGACACACACACACACACACACACACACACUGCAACGAGGCUAUCUGUGGUCUACCAUCACCCUGCCACACACAUACACACGGCUGUUACGGUAAGAACCAGAGACAGAAUCAGGAGUGAGGAAGACAAUCAUGGUGUGACUGUGAGAAAAACAAACUCAUUAUCCACUGAUGUUGAUUUCCCCGUCACGUGACCCAAAUUGACUCCACGUUUCCCAAAAACACAGAGAGUUAAUUUGAGUCAUUUCACGUCUCAGGAUACACUCUGAAAGCUAGUUUAUAAUUCUUACAUUUGGAAUUAUAAAACACAGAAAGACACGAUGCGUCUCUGUAUGUGUGAGCAUGAAGAGAAAAAAAAAAUCUGCUUUAUUUUAUUUCCAUCACUCAAACCAGCCUUCACUAGUUAACUUCAGCAGCUGCACCGCAUAUUCCACAAACCCCAGCUACCCCCUUAAACCCACCCUGUGCCCCUCCCUGGCUUCCCAGCAUCCUCUCUCGCCCUGACUCCAAAAAAAAAAUGCGUGCAGAAAUUACAGCACACGAAGGCAGCGUUGUGGGAAACCCCUCCCUCCUUUUAAGUGCUAUGCAUGACCUUAUUCUGAUAUGUUUAGAAGGGGGGGGGGUUUAUUUUAAUCUCCAUUUCACUGUUAAACAGCAGGCUGUUCAUUUGUUUCUACACAUACAGUAGCUAUAGUUCAGAGAACAGUUUAUUUAUAUUUAUUUAAUAUUUAUCUUUUUGGCAUGUGUGCAUUACUGAGUGUGGAAUGUCUGAAGGCAGCUUUUUUUUUGGUUUUUCCCACUGAAUAAUUCUGUAACAAACCAGCAGUGGCUGACAAAAAAGAAUAGGCUCGGAUAGAAAACCAUGCAGUGGAAUAGAUUGUGUGUUAUUGUUAAUGCAGGUCAAAGAAGGGGGGGGGCAAAAUAAAAGUGAAUCAGUCAAAAUAAGAAAUACUACUAAGUGCCGUUUGUAGGCAAGCUACUUAAAUCAGAGCGCGACCCCAUUAUCUUGGUUCCUAGCUUCAGGUUAACUCAUGGCACCACCCUUGUGGCGAGCCUGUUCCUAACCAGCUGUAAUGACACACUCCAUCAGUUUGGCUCUGCUCGUGCGGCGCUUGCUUGGUUAACAGUCGGCCCGAUGUGCAGUGUGUGUGCGUGAGUGUGUGUGUGCGUGUGUGCACCGGCUAUUAAAACACUUCAGUCAGAGACGAAAGGACUCGCACUGCUAAUGGAUGUAUCUAUCGAUGUUCCCAUUUAGCAGCACACUGUAAACGAUAGGGCAAUGAUUGUGUUGAAGACAGGAGGAGUGGAGAGUGGUUUGGCGGGCCAAUGAUAAUGACAAGGAAGGUUACAAUAUGGCGCCCUGCACAGUCUCUCUCUCUCUCUCUCUCUCUGGUUUAUGUGUGUGCGCAAGGGUAAGAGCGAGUGAGACCGCGGUUCUCUUCCUCCAUAUCUCGCUGCUGUCGCUCCCCCAGUCGACUUGCCAUUUUUUCACUUCUCUUUUUUUUUUUCUUGCCACUCCACUCCUCUCUCACGACAUUACUCACUGCCGCUAGUCCACAUCAGUGCCCGUCUCUCCUGCACAUGUUUUUCUCUUUUCUCAAUGGCCCUGCAGUGUAGAUUGUUUUUUUUGUUUGCGAUGGCGGGUGAAAUAUUAUAAAACAAAGUGAAAGACAGAAUAACGCAGCAGAGGCAUCUAAAUAGUUAGGAUAGCAGGUUGUCCUUGAAAUAUUCAUUCACUCACUCCUAGUUUUUCCCCUCUUCUGUGUGUGUGUGUGUGUUGUCAUUUCUAAUCAGUGUGUGUGUGAUGAUUAUGAAUCGAGUCAGUCUGCCUGCAGGUUUGGCAGGAGACCACCGCCAGCUGGACUCAGACCCCUAACUCCAGUGUGUCGGUUUGUGUUAAUGUGAGUGUGGUCGCACAUGUCAGGGCGUAUCUGUCAGCGCGGUGACAACCUGAGGAUAAAAUAAUGAAACGUAUUCAAAAUAACACAAAGGAGUCAAGUUUUGCCUCUGUCGUUCGAGGUGUAUAAUGACGUAUUGAAACUAGGCUUCUAGAGCUGCAAAUAUGGCAAGUAUUUGGCUGUUUAACGUCAAAUUCUCAGUGCAGGCAACUCUGCAUUUGCCACAAUUACUGUAAUCAACCACAUUAUUUCUCAUCCGCAGUGUUUAUGUUCCUUUAAAAUGUUGUCGAAGUAGUAAAAAGCCCAUCUGUGUCUGUGUGUGUGCACGUCCGUAAUCGCAGGGCAGAAGAUUAAGUGGGCAAUGCCAUUAUAGCUGUGAGGAGAUGGAAGAAGUCUGCAUACAUACAUAUAUUCACACACUUACUCACACACACACACAGAGAAACACACAGAGCUGGAGGCGUGUGAGCAUUAAGUCAGGCAGCUAAACAGAUCACGUUGUGGUAUGAUAUCUGCAGACAGGCAGACAGAGGAGGCCGGUUUGUACCUGCAGGCAGAGAGCAACGACUCACAGAACCCUCGCCAAGAAUUCCCUCCCCCUCCUUAGAGACCGGGAGAGGGAGUAACUGAAGGUGAGAGAAAGACAGGAAAGACAAAGUGGAGUUUCCACUGUAAGAUGUGUGUCUAUGUCUGUGUUUAAUGUGAACCAAUGUCUGAACACAACUGGUAACGUUUCCCUUGUUUGAUCUGAUUAUCGUCACAACACACUGUAGCUUUAAAUAGAAAGCACCAUUUUUGCUGCGGUUAAGAAAAAUCGCGAUAAGCACAGUGGAGACUCUGAGCUUAUCAGAUACCAGAAAAAAAAAGGUUAAAAUAAAUAAAGGUGCAUUUAAAACUGA